GGGCGUUAAGUUGCAGGGUAUAGACCCGAAACCCGGUGAUCUAGCCAUGGGCAGGUUGAAGGUUGGGUAACACUAACUGGAGGACCGAACCGACUAAUGUUGAAAAAUUAGCGGAUGACCUGUGGCUGGGGGUGAAAGGCCAAUCAAACCGGGAGAUAGCUGGUUCUCCCCGAAAGCUAUUUAGGUAGCGCCUCGUGAAUUCAUCUCCGGGGGUAGAGCACUGUUUCGGCCAGGGGGCCAUCCCGGCUUACCAAUCCGAUGCAAACUGCGAAUACCGGAGAAUGUUAUCACGGGAGACACACGGCGGGUGCUAACGUCCGUCGUGAAGAGGGAAACAACCCAGACCGCCAGCUAAGGUCCCAAAGUCAUGGUUAAGUGGGAAACGAUGUGGGAAGGCCCAGACAGCCAGGAUGUUGGCUUAGAAGCAGCCAUCAUUUAAAGAAAGCGUAAUAGCUCACUGGUCGAGUCGGCCUGCGCGGAAGAUGUAACGGGGCUAAACCAUGCACCGAAGCUGCGGCAGCGACACUGAUGUGUUGUUGGGUAGGGGAGCGUUCUGUAAGCCGUUGAAGGUGGCCUGUGAGGGUUGCUGGAGGUAUCAGAAGUGCGAAUGCUGACAUAAGUAACGAUAAAGCGGGUGAAAAGCCCGCUCGCCGGAAGACCAAGGGUUCCUGUCCAACGUUAAUCGGGGCAGGGUGAGUCGACCCCUAAGGCGAGGCCGAAAGGCGUAGUCGAUGGGAAACGGGUUAAUAUUCCCGUACUUGGUGUUACUGCGAAGGGGGGACGGAGAAGGCUAUGUUGGCCGGGCGACGGUUGUCCCGGUUUAAGCGUGUAGGUGUGUGUUCCAGGUAAAUCCGGUUCACUUUAACACUGAGGCGUGACGACGAGGCACUACGGUGCUGAAGCAACAAAUGCCCUGCUUCCAGGAAAAGCCUCUAAGCCUCAGGUAACAUCAAAUCGUACCCCAAACCGACACAGGUGGUCAGGUAGAGAAUACCAAGGCGCUUGAGAGAACUCGGGUGAAGGAACUAGGCAAAAUGGUGCCGUAACUUCGGGAGAAGGCACGCUGACACGUAGGUGAAGUGGUUUACCCAUGGAGCUGAAGUCAGUCGAAGAUACCAGCUGGCUGCAACUGUUUAUUAAAAACACAGCACUGUGCAAACACGAAAGUGGACGUAUACGGUGUGACGCCUGCCCGGUGCCGGAAGGUUAAUUGAUGGGGUCAGCGCAAGCGAAGCUCCUGAUCGAAGCCCCGGUAAACGGCGGCCGUAACUAUAACGGUCCUAAGGUAGCGAAAUUCCUUGUCGGGUAAGUUCCGACCUGCACGAAUGGCGUAAUGAUGGCCAGGCUGUCUCCACCCGGGACUCAGUGAAAUUGAACUCGCUGUGAAGAUGCAGUGUACCCGCGGCAAGACGGAAAGACCCCGUGAACCUUUACUAUAGCUUGACACUGAACACUGGUCCUUGAUGUGCAGGAUAGGUGGGAGGCUUUGAAGUGUGGACGCCAGUCUGCAUGGAGCCAUCCUUGAAAUACCACCCUUUAAUGGCUGGUGUUCUAACGUGGGCCCGUGAACCGGGUUGCGGACAGUGUCUGGUGGGUAGUUUGACUGGGGCGGUCUCCUCCUAAAGAGUAACGGAGGAGCACGAAGGUUGGCUAAUCCUGGUCGGACAUCAGGAGGUUAGUGCAAUGGCAUAAGCCAGCUUGACUGCGAGCGUGACGGCGCGAGCAGGUGCGAAAGCAGGUCAUAGUGAUCCGGUGGUUCUGAAUGGAAGGGCCAUCGCUCAACGGAUAAAAGGUACUCCGGGGAUAACAGGCUGAUACCGCCCAAGAGUUCAUAUCGACGGCGGUGUUUGGCACCUCGAUGUCGGCUCAUCACAUCCUGGGGCUGAAGUAGGUCCCAAGGGUAUGGCUGUUCGCCAUUUAAAGUGGUACGCGAGCUGGGUUUAGAACGUCGUGAGACAGUUCGGUCCCUAUCUGCCGUGGGCGCUGGAAGAUUGAGGGGGGCUGCUCCUAGUACGAGAGGACCGGAGUGGACGCAUCACUGGUGUUCGGGUUGUCAUGCCAAUGGCACUGCCCGGUAGCUACAUGCGGAAGAGAUAAGUGCUGAAAGCAUCUAAGCACGAAACUUGCCCCGAGAUGAAUCUUCCCUGAGCCUUUAAGGCUCCUGAAGGAACGUUGAAGACGACGACGUUGAUAGGCCGGGUGUGUAAGCGCAGCGAUGCGUUGAGCUAACCGGUACUAAUGAACCGUGAGGCUUAACCUUACAACGCCGAAG
RNAcentral lists this ribosomal RNA (2272 nucleotides) under Salmonella enterica subsp. houtenae serovar 44:z36,[z38]:-. RNAcentral describes it as "partial 23S ribosomal RNA". It matches the Rfam family "Bacterial large subunit ribosomal RNA", at positions 690 to 2925 of the family's 2925-position model. The record is from RNAcentral. Lineage: Bacteria; Pseudomonadati; Pseudomonadota; Gammaproteobacteria; Enterobacterales; Enterobacteriaceae.